This 301-nucleotide ribosomal RNA is filed under the name uncultured bacterium. RNAcentral's name for it is "partial 16S ribosomal RNA". It matches the Rfam family "Bacterial small subunit ribosomal RNA", at positions 509 to 807 of the family's 1533-position model. The record is from RNAcentral.
CAGUAGCCACGGUAAUACAGAGGGUGCGAGCGUUAAUCGGAUUUACUGGGCGUAAAGCGUGCGUAGGCGGCUUCUUAAGUCGGAUGUGAAAUCCCUGAGCUUAACUUAGGAAUUGCAUUCGAUACUGGGAAGCUAGAGUAUGGGAGAGGAUGGUAGAAUUCCAGGUGUAGCGGUGAAAUGCGUAGAGAUCUGGAGGAAUACCGAUGGCGAAGGCAGCCAUCUGGCCUAAUACUGAUGCUGAGGUACGAAAGCAUGGGGAGCAAACAGGAUUAGAUACCCCGGUAGUCCCUGUCUCUUAUAC